Molecule: long non-coding RNA, 1597 nt
Filed under: Strigops habroptila (Kakapo)
Lineage: Eukaryota; Metazoa; Chordata; Aves; Psittaciformes; Psittacidae
Description: lncRNA (ENSSHBG00005016600.1)
Source: RNAcentral
AGGGCUUUAUUCCCCAGUUUUCUGGGGCUAAAAUGGGGAUGCAGGAGAAGCUGCCUCUUGGGAUUUUGGCUAGUUAGACUUCUUGUGUGGGUCUGGCAAAGAGAAAGGGACUGCAGCCGAAAUGUUCGGGAAGUUGGGGAGGGUGGGGCUAUCUAGCAAUCUUUGACUCACUGGGGUAACUCCCUGAACACAGGAAUUAAAUUAUUACUCAAAGCAAGCUAUGUUUUAUGAGCAGCAGCCUUAGGAUGGAAUUCUGCAUGCAUAUGGAGUAUGGAACAACUGAAAUGUAUGGAAAUACAUAUACAAGACAAUGAAAUUAUUGGGUGCAAUGCAGAAGUCCCUGGGUGAUAGAAGAGGUGGGAUUAUGCAGUGAAGCCAGUCCAGGAAUCCAUGGACAAAUUUUCUUAUUUCUACCGAUAUAAUCCUGACUGACAUCAGCUCAGAUAGGGGAAGAAUCGAACCCCAUGGAUCUAAUCUUUGGGAAAAGUAGGCUGGAUUAGAGAGACUGUAUCUGCCAAGCAUCCUUUCACUCCCUCGCCAUCACAGCAGUGUGCAAGAUUUUGCCAUCACACAGACCAAUUUAUGUCUGCUGUCUUUUUGUGUUCCCUUUUUUUGCUUCCCAAAAAUGUUUGAAUUUUCUUUUUUUAUAAAGUUUUGUUGCAAACACAUAAUUUCUUUACACAAUUUCACCAAGUCUUUAGAGGAUACUUAUUUCAAGCAGUUAACACCUGACCCCAAUUUUUGUGGGUAAUUAGUGAGCUAGAUAACCACACAAAGUGGGUAAUUAUUUAGCACCCAAGGGUACUGUACAAGAGGGUAGAGGCUUGCUAUGUUAACAAAAGCACAUCUCUAAUUAUUGUAUCUAUACUGGUGAUGUUUUAAGAAUAGUUACUCCAUCUAAUGAUCCAUGAUAAAUCAGUAAACUACUUUGCUUCCCUUAGCAUACAUGUGUGGGCUAACCAGGGGCAGGACGUGAGGGCAAAGCAAAUUGAAGCCCCAACUUUGGAAUACGCACAAGAGAAGCGAGAGGCAUCCCCCUUGGAGAAGGUAGUAAGACUGGAAGUGUCUGCUCCACAACAGCAGCAGCAGAGCCUAAGAGCCAUCACUAAAUGCUAACAGGUUGGUUGAGACGACUUGAAAAGCCAUGUAGGAAGAAGCCUGUAGAGUGUGCCUCAGGGUCUACUUCUUGCUUAGGUAAUGUGGCUGGGCUGAUGCAUCUUUGUAUACAACAAUAACCCUAAUCAUGUUUUAACCGAGUUCAGUCUUGCUCAUUGAAAAUCGCUUUGAAAGCUGUACAAAUGAGGUGGUUCGUGUUUGUGGAAGGUCAGGGCUGAAAUGCAAGAGAGUAGCACUGGGGGGAAAAGAAUGAAUGAAUUUCAAUUAUCUGCCAUCUCCAAUAUUCAUGUUGCAAAAAACACAUUUCUCCCAUGGAAAACAUUACAUCCUCAGUAGAUCCUCCCCCCCUCCCCCCAAAUUUAAGAAGGAAGAGAUGGGAACUAUUUUGAAAUAGAAACUAAAUGAAAAAGAUUCAACUACCAAAAACCAGUUUUGGUCAUCGGAACCAUGUGAAAAGAAGGGUUGCGCUGGAAACAGAGCC